Molecule: long non-coding RNA, 1992 nt
Filed under: Panax ginseng (ginseng)
Lineage: Eukaryota; Viridiplantae; Streptophyta; Magnoliopsida; Apiales; Araliaceae
Description: long non-coding RNA (PGIN_LNC003123)
Source: RNAcentral
ACACCAUAAUAUUCAAAAAAAAAAUUCAAGGAAUUUAAAUCUUUAUUCAUAAAAUUUGGACUCUCACAUAAGUUUUGUCCUAUACGCCAUAAUUAUAUGGUGGGGGUACUUGCGGCGUCUACCCAUAGACGUAUCUUCCUUACGACGAUAUAAUAGAACGUGGUAAGUAAAUCCUCCGACUAUUGGAAUUAAUUUGGUGCCAAUGGUGAGACGUUUAUCUGCCCAUACCUGAAAAUGAAAAAAUAAAGCACAAAUGUUAUCGUAAACUUUUAAUAAACAGACAUAUAUGUCAGACAAAAAAUAUGUAAAUGUAAAUAUUUAAAUUUUCUGCAAGAAAGUAAUACAGCCACCAACUGCAGUUGCACCGAUCCUUGUCGCUUUGUGUAAACUGUCGUAUAAGCAUCUCAAUACGGCUACACCUCAUGCGACAAGUCCGGAAGUCGCACGACGGGGUAACUCCCCAAAUCUAUAAGCUAACCACCUUGGUCGUAAGUCUUUUCGCCCUUUUGAGCAAAUGGAAACAAUAUAUUUAGAUGUUUCCAACAACUCCUUUUUUAGUUAUUCGUAAAGCCCACAUGUAAUGAGCUUUCCUAAUACAGGUAAACCUAGGAUAUAAAACGCGUCUUCUAACAUACUGGUCAUCUCUCCAAUGAAAAAAUGAAAGAGAGAGAGAGACGUAUAUAAUGCAUCUAAUGUAUGGCAAAAAACCCUAAUAUUUACUUGUUAUUGCGAUGUAUUUGUAAUUUUUUGAUGGAUCUUGAAGAAGUUGAAGAGAAAAAUUUGUUUAGAUGUGAGAGAUUAUCAAAGACCAAUCUGCAUGGAGUUGAAGAAAAGAAUUUAAUUCGUAUCGGAGACUUGCAUGAUUUUUUUUUCAGGUCGACUGUUCAAGAUUUGCAUUCUGCAAAUCUGAAGAAGAUGGAGCAGUCGUGAUCUAGGGGGAAAGCAGGUACCGCAUAAUAAUUUUGGGGACAGUAAAGCUACUGCAUGAUUAUUAUGCGGACGGGAUAUAUAGCAUCGACAUAAUUAUCCUACAGAUGUCAUGGUAAUGAAAGUAAGACUUUUUGUCAUUUCCUUUCUGGGUUCAGGCUAGACACGAUUAUAUAUUGUUUGCCUUCUUAAUAACUAUAUUGCGGAUGAAGUGUUCCUAAAACACCAUUGGAUCACCUCAAGGGCGGAGCCAGAAAUUUUUUUCCUCCUGGACUACCAAGUGCCAUUUAGAUUUCCCAAAUAAUAACAAACCAUUACACGCCAAACACUCCCCCUAACUUGCUCACAAACCAACUUUUCCUACUGUCAGAACUUUUAUCGAACACCUUGAGGACGCUGUUUUAUAGCCCCUUUCUCUCCCUUGUUUGAAUGUUCAAUAACCAGUGCACAAGCACCCAACAAUCAUAAUAGAUAAUAACAAACUUGAAUAGACUAAAUUAAGCCCCAACUCCCCCAAAACUGUCAAAACCAAACUUUAUCCAACUAAUUGUAAAAACUAUGAAAUUUUACCUUCAAUGCAAAUCAGGAAGAAAUUCAUUAAAUGGUUCACUUCUAUUUUUUAUCAACUAUGAUGCAAACAAAGUUAAGGCGAUCUAACUAAUCAGCUCAGUCAAAAAAAAAUUUCAUUUAUAGUAAUAUGAAAACGUCAAAAAAGCAUACCAUUCAAUUAUCCAGAAUACAAAAGUAAAGCAAGACUCCAAUUCUUUACUUCCAAAAUAGUACUGCUAAAUAGAAAACUAAAUGAAGAUGAAGAUGUGUCGCCAUUGGAGUAUCAAAGAAAGAGGUCUGUCAAGUUUGCAGGUCCUCCUUUACUGGCUAAAGUGACAGUUAGCAGAGAUGUCAGUGAACAAGUUAUAGUUGCAUCACCCAAUUCUCUCAAGCAAAAGGCUAAAAGAAAACCACUUAUCCCUUUAAUUAGUGGGAAAUUCUCAAAAAAGAAGGGUAGCCAAGAAGUUGAGCCUCAUAAACGAGGCAGAUAGUUUGGGAUACAAUACCAUGACAAUC